AUGGAUGCAACUGCAGCUGGCAAGAAGAUGGGCAUAGGAGGAGAGAAAAAGCAGCAGAGGAAACCAGGUUCUUCCUUCUGGGGAGCCAUGGCGUUGAAGAGCAGAAGCCAGCCAGGAGGAGCAGGAGAAAGCAAGAACAUCAAGAGCGAGAGGAAGACGACGACGACCACAACGAAAAGGAGUGUCAGCAUUGGUAGGAGCAUGACUUGCCCAGGGUCAAUCUGCGGCACCAAGGAGAGCGCUGUGCUGAGCAGGGAAAGCUGCCGGAAUAGCCAUAGCGGCCGCAAUGUCUCCAGCAGCAGUAGGUCUCUCAAGGCUCCGGACAAUGACAUCUUGUCCGUGCCCGUGGUGGCUUCCGGCGCGGUCGUGUCAGCGUCGUCGUCGUUCAACUCGGAGACCUCGGUGGCUACGACGGCGACCACUGUCAGCUCCUCCUCCUCGUCGUCGUCGGCUCUCUCGUCGCCGCUUUCGUCCAUCGUUGCCGGUUCCAGGUCUUUCAGGAAGCUCUCCGGCUGCUACUACGAGUGCCACUCGGCGCUCGACCCCAGGACAAGCCUCGUCGGCGGCGCCGGCAUGCUCCCCUGCUCCGACUGCGACGAGUUCUUCGUCAAAGCCGAGUCCCUCGAGCUUCACCGAGCAACCCGCCAUGCAGUUUCGGAGCUCGGCGCCGAGGACACGAGCAGGAACGUGGUGGAGAUCAUCUUCCAGUCGAGCUGGCUCGUCGGGAAGCCGCGGGCGGCGCCGAUUUGCAGGAUCGAGAGGAUUCUGAAGGUGUACAGCUCCGGCAGGACCGUGGAGAGGUUCGAGCAGUACAGGGAGCGCGUCAAGGCGAUUGCGGCGAGCAGCACCGAUGAGCUGGCCAGGAGGAGCUUCCCGCGGUGCGCCGCCGACGGCAACGAGAUCCUCCGGUUCCACUGCACCACCUUCACGUGCUCCCUCGGCCUCGCCGGCGCCACCUCCCUCUGCCGGUCGUCCCCGCAGCAGUGCAAACUGUGCAGCAUUAUCAGAGACGGCUUCAGGGUCGACGGCGAUGGGAAAAUUGCGACGAUGGCGACGAGCGGGCGGGCUCACGACAAGGCGCAAACGCCUCUGCCGGGCGGCGGCGGCGGCGAGAAGAGGGCGAUGCUGGUGUGCAGGGUGGUGGCAGGGAGAGUGAAGAAGCUCGUCAACAGCAGCAAUUCUUCGGAGGAGUCUGGCUGUGACAGCGUCAGUUCCUGCUCAGAUUUGGAUGAACUCUCUGUGUUCAACCCAUUGGCUAUACUGCCUUGCUUUGUAGUGAUGUAUGCAGUGGCUACUGAGACAUAA
RNAcentral lists this ribosomal RNA (1305 nucleotides) under Triticum aestivum (bread wheat). RNAcentral describes it as "partial small subunit ribosomal RNA". Lineage: Eukaryota; Viridiplantae; Streptophyta; Magnoliopsida; Poales; Poaceae. The record is from RNAcentral.